GGGCCCGCACAAGCGGUGGAGCAUGUGGUUUAAUUCGAUGAUACGCGAGGAACCUUACCAGGGCUUAAAUGCAGAAUGACAGAUUGGGAAACCAGUCCUUCUUCGGACAUUUUGCAAGGUGCUGCAUGGUUGUCGUCAGCUCGUGCCGUGAGGUGUCAGGUUAAGUCCUAUAACGAGCGCAACCCCUAUCAUUAGUUGCCAGCGGGUAAUGCCGGGAACUCUAAUGAGACUGCCAGCGCAAGCUGCGAGGAAGGUGGGGAUGACGUCAAAUCAUCACGGCCCUUACGUCCUGGCUACACACGUGCUACAAUGGUUGGGACAAUGGGCAGCCACUACGCGAGGGGGAGCGGA
This 351-nucleotide ribosomal RNA is filed under the name uncultured bacterium. RNAcentral describes it as "bacterial SSU rRNA". It matches the Rfam family "Bacterial small subunit ribosomal RNA", at positions 917 to 1271 of the family's 1533-position model. The record is from RNAcentral.